Molecule: unclassified non-coding RNA, 30 nt
Filed under: Xenorhabdus szentirmaii DSM 16338
Lineage: Bacteria; Pseudomonadati; Pseudomonadota; Gammaproteobacteria; Enterobacterales; Morganellaceae
Description: IRE
Source: RNAcentral
UUCUGUUUCCUGACAGAGUUCAGGCCAUAA